Molecule: ribosomal RNA, 470 nt
Filed under: uncultured Moraxellaceae bacterium
Lineage: Bacteria; Pseudomonadati; Pseudomonadota; Gammaproteobacteria; Moraxellales; Moraxellaceae
Description: bacterial SSU rRNA
Rfam family: Bacterial small subunit ribosomal RNA
Source: RNAcentral
GGGAAUAUUGGGCAAUGGGGGCAAGCGCGAUCCAGACCAAUGGCGUGUGUGAAGAAGGCCUUAUGGUUGUAAAGCACUUUAAGCGAGGAGGAGAAAACUUUAGUUAAAACCAAGAGAUAGUAGACGUUACUCGCAAAAUAAACCCCGGCUAAAUUUGUGCCAGCCAGCGCGGUAAUUCAGAGGGGGCAAACGUUUAUUGGAAUUUCUGGGGGUAAAACGGGGGUCAGGGGGUAAUUAAAUCAAAUGGGAAAUUCCCGAGGCUAAACUGGGAAUUGCCUUUGAUACUGGUUAGGUAGGAGGUGGGAGAGGAUGGUAGAAUUUCAGGGGGAGCGGUGAAAAGGGGAGAAAUUUGGAGGAAUCCCGAUGGGGAAGGCCACCAUCUGGCCCAACCACGACGGUGAGGUCAGAAAACAUGGGGAACCAACCAGAUUAGAUACCCUGGUAAUUCCACCCCUAAACGAUGUUUAAUA